CAACUCGCCUACAUGAAGCUGGAAUUGCUAGUAAUCAUAGGUCAGCAUACUAUGGUGAAUACGUUCCCGGGCCUUGUACACACCGCCCGUCACACCAUGAGAGUUGAGAAUACCCGAAGUCCAUGUCAAAGUGGCCGAAGGUAGGCUUGAUGAUUGGGGUGAAGUCGUAACAAGGUAUC
RNAcentral lists this ribosomal RNA (179 nucleotides) under uncultured bacterium. Its description in RNAcentral is "partial 16S ribosomal RNA". It matches the Rfam family "Bacterial small subunit ribosomal RNA", at positions 1308 to 1500 of the family's 1533-position model. The record is from RNAcentral.